ACUAAGCGUACACGGUGGAUGCCCUGGCAGUCAGAGGCGAUGAAGGGCGUGCUAAUCUGCGAUAAGCGCCGGUAAGGUGAUAUGAACCGUUAUAACCGGCGAUACCCGAAUGGGGAAACCCAGUGUGAUUCGUCACACUAUCAUUAACUGAAUCCAUAGGUUAAUGAGGCGAACCGGGGGAACUGAAACAUCUAAGUACCCCGAGGAAAAGAAAUCAACCGAGAUUCCCCCAGUAGCGGCGAGCGAACGGGGAGGAGCCCAGAGCCUGAAUCAGCAUGUGUGUUAGUGGAAGCGUCUGGAAAGGCGCGCGAUACAGGGUGACAGCCCCGUACACAAAAGCGCAUGUGCUGUGAGCUCGAUGAGUAGGGCGGGACACGUGGUAUCCUGUCUGAAUAUGGGGGGACCAUCCUCCAAGGCUAAAUACUCCUGACUGACCGAUAGUGAACCAGUACCGUGAGGGAAAGGCGAAAAGAACCCCGGCGAGGGGAGUGAAAAAGAACCUGAAACCGUGUACGUACAAGCAGUGGGAGCACCCUUCGGGGUGUGACUGCGUACCUUUUGUAUAAUGGGUCAGCGACUUAUAUUCUGUAGCAAGGUUAACCGAAUAGGGGAGCCGGAGGGAAACCGAGUCUUAAUUGGGCGUUAAGUUGCAGGGUAUAGACCCGAAACCCGGUGAUCUAGCCAUGGGCAGGUUGAAGGUUGGGUAACACUAACUGGAGGACCGAACCGACUAAUGUUGAAAAAUUAGCGGAUGACCUGUGGCUGGGGGUGAAAGGCCAAUCAAACCGGGAGAUAGCUGGUUCUCCCCGAAAGCUAUUUAGGUAGCGCCUCGUGAAUUCAUCUCCGGGGGUAGAGCACUGUUUCGGCUAGGGGGCCAUCCCGGCUUACCAACCCGAUGCAAACUGCGAAUACCGGAGAAUGUUAUCACGGGAGACACACGGCGGGUGCUAACGUCCGUCGUGAAGAGGGAAACAACCCAGACCGCCAGCUAAGGUCCCAAAGUCAUGGUUAAGUGGGAAACGAUGUGGGAAGGCCCAGACAGCCAGGAUGUUGGCUUAGAAGCAGCCAUCAUUUAAAGAAAGCGUAAUAGCUCACUGGUCGAGUCGGCCUGCGCGGAAGAUGUAACGGGGCUAAACCAUGCACCGAAGCUGCGGCAGCGAACGUAUCACCCAAGACAACUUUACGGAGUUGACGAUUGACGGAGCGAAGCGACGUCAAAGCGUUCAUUAAAGUCGAGUUGGCUUAGGGAUACGUUCGUUGGGUAGGGGAGCGUUCUGUAAGCCUGUGAAGGUGUGUCGUGAGGCAUGCUGGAGGUAUCAGAAGUGCGAAUGCUGACAUAAGUAACGAUAAAGCGGGUGAAAAGCCCGCUCGCCGGAAGACCAAGGGUUCCUGUCCAACGUUAAUCGGGGCAGGGUGAGUCGACCCCUAAGGCGAGGCCGAAAGGCGUAGUCGAUGGGAAACGGGUUAAUAUUCCCGUACUUGGUGUUACUGCGAAGGGGGGACGGAGAAGGCUAUGUUGGCCGGGCGACGGUUGUCCCGGUUUAAGCGUGUAGGUGUGUGUUCCAGGUAAAUCCGGUUCACUUUAACACUGAGGCGUGACGACGAGGCACUACGGUGCUGAAGCAACAAAUGCCCUGCUUCCAGGAAAAGCCUCUAAGCAUCAGGUAACAUCAAAUCGUACCCCAAACCGACACAGGUGGUCAGGUAGAGAAUACCAAGGCGCUUGAGAGAACUCGGGUGAAGGAACUAGGCAAAAUGGUGCCGUAACUUCGGGAGAAGGCACGCUGACACGUAGGUGAAGUGAUUUACUCAUGGAGCUGAAGUCAGUCGAAGAUACCAGCUGGCUGCAACUGUUUAUUAAAAACACAGCACUGUGCAAACACGAAAGUGGACGUAUACGGUGUGACGCCUGCCCGGUGCCGGAAGGUUAAUUGAUGGGGUCAGCGCAAGCGAAGCUCCUGAUCGAAGCCCCGGUAAACGGCGGCCGUAACUAUAACGGUCCUAAGGUAGCGAAAUUCCUUGUCGGGUAAGUUCCGACCUGCACGAAUGGCGUAAUGAUGGCCAGGCUGUCUCCACCCGAGACUCAGUGAAAUUGAACUCGCUGUGAAGAUGCAGUGUACCCGCGGCAAGACGGAAAGACCCCGUGAACCUUUACUAUAGCUUGACACUGAACAUUGAGCCUUGAUGUGUAGGAUAGGUGGGAGGCUUUGAAGUGUGGACGCCAGUCUGCAUGGAGCCGACCUUGAAAUACCACCCUUUAAUGUUUGAUGUUCUAACGUGGACCCGUAAUCCGGGUUGCGGACAGUGUCUGGUGGGUAGUUUGACUGGGGCGGUCUCCUCCUAAAGAGUAACGGAGGAGCACGAAGGUUGGCUAAUCCUGGUCGGACAUCAGGAGGUUAGUGCAAUGGCAUAAGCCAGCUUGACUGCGAGCGUGACGGCGCGAGCAGGUGCGAAAGCAGGUCAUAGUGAUCCGGUGGUUCUGAAUGGAAGGGCCAUCGCUCAACGGAUAAAAGGUACUCCGGGGAUAACAGGCUGAUACCGCCCAAGAGUUCAUAUCGACGGCGGUGUUUGGCACCUCGAUGUCGGCUCAUCACAUCCUGGGGCUGAAGUAGGUCCCAAGGGUAUGGCUGUUCGCCAUUUAAAGUGGUACGCGAGCUGGGUUUAGAACGUCGUGAGACAGUUCGGUCCCUAUCUGCCGUGGGCGCUGGAGAACUGAGGGGGGCUGCUCCUAGUACGAGAGGACCGGAGUGGACGCAUCACUGGUGUUCGGGUUGUCAUGCCAAUGGCACUGCCCGGUAGCUAAAUGCGGAAGAGAUAAGUGCUGAAAGCAUCUAAGCACGAAACUUGCCCCGAGAUGAGUUCUCCCUGAGACUUAGAGUCUCCUGAAGGAACGUUGAAGACGACGACGUUGAUAGGCCGGGUGUGUAAGCGCAGCGAUGCGUUGAGCUAACCGGUACUAAUGAACCGUGAGGCUUAACC
RNAcentral lists this ribosomal RNA (2979 nucleotides) under Salmonella enterica subsp. enterica serovar Typhimurium. RNAcentral's name for it is "bacterial LSU rRNA". It matches the Rfam family "Bacterial large subunit ribosomal RNA". Lineage: Bacteria; Pseudomonadati; Pseudomonadota; Gammaproteobacteria; Enterobacterales; Enterobacteriaceae. The record is from RNAcentral.